GACGAACGCUGGCGGCGUGCCUAAUACAUGCAAGUAGAACGCUGAAGGAGGAUCUUGCUCCUCUGGAUGAGUUGCGAACGGGUGAGUAACGCGUAGGUAACCUGCCUGGUAGCGGGGGAUAACUAUUGGAAACGAUAGCUAAUACCGCAUAAGAGUAGAUGUUGCAUGACAUUUGCUUAAAAGGUGCAAUUGCAUCACUACCAGCUGGACCUGCGUUGUAUUAGCUAGUUGGUGGGGUAACGGCUCACCAAGGCGACGAUACAUAGCCGAGCGGGGAGGGUGGACGGCCACAAUGGGAAUGGGAAACGGCCCAGACUCCUACGGGGGGCAGCAGGAGGGAAUCUUCGGAAAUGGACGGAAGUCUGACCGAGCAACGCCGCGUGAGAGGAGAAGGUUUUCGGGUCGUAAAGCUCUGUUGUAAGAGAAGAAAGAGUGUGAGAGUGGAAAGUUCACACUGUGACGGUAUCUUAACAGAAAGGGACGGCUAACUACGUG
Molecule: ribosomal RNA, 495 nt
Filed under: uncultured bacterium
Lineage: Bacteria
Description: partial 16S ribosomal RNA
Rfam family: Bacterial small subunit ribosomal RNA
Source: RNAcentral